This 292-nucleotide ribosomal RNA is filed under the name uncultured bacterium. Its description in RNAcentral is "partial 16S ribosomal RNA". It matches the Rfam family "Bacterial small subunit ribosomal RNA", at positions 505 to 796 of the family's 1533-position model. The record is from RNAcentral.
GUGCCAGCCGCCGCGGUAAUACAGAGGUCCCAAGCGUUGUUCGGAUUUACUGGGCGUAAAGGGCGCGUAGGUGGCAGGCUAAGUCUAAUGUGAAAGCUCUGAGCUUAACUCAGAAAUGGCAUUAGAUACUAGUCAGCUUGAGGAUUGGAGGGGAGACUGGAAUUCUCGGUGUAGCAGUGAAAUGCGUAGAUAUCGAGAGGAACACCAGUGGCGAAGGCGAGUCUCUGGACAAUACCUGACACUGAGGCGCGAAAGCUAGGGGAGCAAACGGGAUUAGAAACCCCCGUAGUCC